Molecule: ribosomal RNA, 468 nt
Filed under: uncultured bacterium
Lineage: Bacteria
Description: partial 16S ribosomal RNA
Rfam family: Bacterial small subunit ribosomal RNA
Source: RNAcentral
GACGAACGCUGGCGGCGUGCUUAACACAUGCAAGUCGAACGGAAAGGCCCUGCUUUUGUGGGGUGCUCGAGUGGCGAACGGGUGAGUAACACGUGAGUAACCUGCCCUUGACUUUGGGAUAACUGCAGGAGACUGGGGCUAAUACCGGAUAGGAGCUCCUGCUGCAUGGUGGGGGUUGGACAGUAUCGGCGGUGGGGGAUGGACUCGCGGCUUAUCAGCUUGUUGGUGGGGUAGUGGCUUACCAAGGCUUAGACGGGUAGCCGGCCUGAGAGGGUGACCGGCCACAUUGGGCCUGAGAGACGGCCCAGACUGCAACGGGAGGCAGCAGGGGGGAGUAUUGUACAAUGGGCGGAAGCGUGAUGAAGCAGCGCUGCGUGCGGGAUGACGGUCUUCGGGUGAGAAACCGCUGUAGCUUGUGACGAAGCGUGAGUGACGGUAAUGGGUAAAGAAGCACCGGCUAACUACGUG